UUUAGAUUAGAGAUUGACCAAUGUGACCUGUGUUUCCAGACCUUUGUUUGAACACAGCUAAUGCAAGUCUUGCUCUGGUGGAAGCCCUGCUGUGUCCUAUUCCUGUUUGGACAGAAAGCCUCUGAAUCUGCUUGGAUCAUGAGGAAGACAAAGCAUUCCUGGGCAGCCGUGGUGGGAAGAGGCAACAAGGGGGAGAAAAUGGCUGAGGAAAAUGCAAGAAUACUGCCCAAGGCCACACAUGAAGAGAGAAAGAAGCAGGAGGCAAAGAGGAAAGGGACACUGAAAACCUUGGCAGGCAAAUUGCUAAAGACUGUGGUUGGUGGGAAGGAGGCAAUGAAGAAGGCUGGCGGUGAGGAUGUGGCAGGGAAUUUGCUAAAGAUGCCAACCAGUAGGAAGGGAACGGAGAGAGGGACACCUGCAGAGGAAACCAUCUGCAUAUGCAUUGAGCAAGGAAAAUUUUUGGAAGCUUGUGAUCAUAUUUAUAAUCUGAAGAAUUCUGGAAAUGAUGGUGUGCAAAAAUCUGAAUCACUUUAUGCGCUGCUGGCUGAACGAAUGUGGACUGUGGUGGAAGAAGUGCUCAGUGGAAGUGGUAGGAUGUUCCUGGAGCCAUUGCAGUCAGUGGGGGAGUCACUGAAGUGGGAGAAGCAGAAGGAAGCAGACUGGCUUGGCAACAGCCAAGGAAUGGAUUCUGUUUCCACCUGGAGUCCAAACUUCUGGAGGAAAGAUCUGGAGGAAAAACUGAUACAGUACGUGACAGCCCAGAUUCCCCUGUUUGGUUCCCCUGCUAACACAGAUGAUACUGCACUAAAACAGCAUCUGAGUCAUCUAGAAACGACAUUUCUCCCCAGCCUGGAGCACAGAAGUGAUGUCUUCAAGGAAGCAGGACUGCUUGUCACCUAUGCCCGCUGCUGUCGUGCCUCUUUGUGUUCUCACCUUUCCACACUUACUGACAGUAACCAUUUCAGCUUCAGCCAAUGUCUUUUAAUUUAUGAAUGGGGCCUUAAAAUAUACAAAAGUGGCAGCAAGGCAUGUCUGAGACCCAGCCAGAUCCCCCAGCACAACCUUUCCCUUGAUGGACAGUAUCUCGUGUGGAUUAUUUUGAAGACUGAGGAAAAGUUACUUGCAGUCACACGGAAGGAAGUAGGGAAAGCCCUGAAAGAAGCCUUUGAUAUUGGGAAACCCCCUUGUACAGAUGCCGCAGUCAUUCAGAUACUAACAGAGAAGACAGAGGCUGCCAGGCGUGUCAGCGAGAGCCUGAGUGAGAAGGUGGAAGCUGUGUGCCUGGAGCAGUGCCUGAGGUUCCUGGAGAGCUAUGAAGAUGAAGUAAGAAGCUUUCUCCAGCUUGAUGGCCGCCCACCAAUCUGCAGCAGCUUACGAAUCCUAGAGAACUGCUGCCUUCUCAGGACUGUCUGGCUUAAGCUAACAUACAUUUACAGUGCCAGCACUGGCCAGGAUCUUAAGGUAAAUGGAUUUCUAGACAGGAUGGAAGAUGACAUUACAGAGCGUUUCCUGCAGACAGUCACUUCUAAAGUCAAGGGAACACUGAAGAAUCACUUCAAAAAGUGUGACAGUGGUUUUGGCCACAUUCUUGAAUCCUUAAAGCAAAGCUUUUUGGCCUUUGGGAAGAAACAGAUAUGUAUGAGGCCCUCGUCCAGGCUGUCAAUGCCAUUGUUAUUACAGAAUAUGUGCAGGCUCUCCUGA
RNAcentral lists this long non-coding RNA (1701 nucleotides) under Lepidothrix coronata (blue-crowned manakin). Its description in RNAcentral is "lncRNA (ENSLCOG00000006227.1)". Lineage: Eukaryota; Metazoa; Chordata; Aves; Passeriformes; Pipridae. The record is from RNAcentral.